This 1182-nucleotide ribosomal RNA is filed under the name Triticum aestivum (bread wheat). Its description in RNAcentral is "partial small subunit ribosomal RNA". The record is from RNAcentral. Lineage: Eukaryota; Viridiplantae; Streptophyta; Magnoliopsida; Poales; Poaceae.
AUGGCGCCGCGCGGCUGCAAGAAGAAGAAGAGGGACAUCAAGAGGAGCCCCGUGUCCGAUCUCUCGGACGACCUCCUGGUCGAGAUCAUCUCGCUCGUGCCCUACAAGUCCACCCGCUGCUGCAAGUGCGUCUCCCGGCGGUGGCGCGACCUCGUCUCCCACCCCGACCACCGCAAGAAGCUGCCCCGGUCGACCCUCGCCGGCAUAUUCUACCAAACCUUCAGAGGGGAACGCUUCCCAGCUAUGCUUUGUGGUCACCAAAGCGUGUCAGGGAACUGGUGCACUAGCAUGGACUGCUCCCUCUCGUUCCUGCCCAACUGCAAGAGAGUUAACAUGUACCUGCUGGACAGCUGCAAUGGCCUCCUCCUCUGUCUUUUCUGGAACCAACCUUCUCAUGUCAAUGGAUUUGAUUACGUGGUGUGCAAUCCCGCUACUGAGAAAUGGGUGACCCUACCUGCCACCACCUGGUCCAGCAAGGUGCGGACUGCCCGCCUUGGGUUCGACCCCUCUGUCUCCUCCCACUUCCAUGUGUUUGAGUUUGUUUCUACUACUGGUGUUGUGGAGGUGAAUAUGCAGGGUCAUGAUACAGGCAAGAAAACAGUGGGGGUCUAUUCCUCUAAAACUGGAGUUUGGACGCAUGGAGUUGUCUGGGACAGUCCACUUUCGAUAUCCCGUUUUCCAAGAAGCAUAUUUUUCAACAAGAUGCUGCAUUUUUCUUCAGAUAAUAAUUUGGUUGUAGCAAUUGAUGUGGAGGGAAAUCGCAGGUUCAUUCGUGGCCCCAUGCCAGAUUCUGCUCGUGGUGUUCCUAAUGUUUAUCUAUCACGGGGACAAUUGCAUUUGGCAAAUGAGAGUGUUUCUGAACUCUCAAUCUGGGCUCUUGAGGAUUUUAGUAGUGAAAGCUGGACCCUGAAGCACAGUGUUAGCCACUUACAACUGCUGGGAACAGAGUAUUCAAUGUUCGCGGGGAACUACAGAGUAAUCUCAAUCCACCCAGAACACAAUGUGAUAUUUAUUGUAUGUGAGCAGUUGUACAUGCUGACUGGCCCAUCACUGACGAAACUAAUGGCAUAUGAAAUUGAUUCCGGGGAGCUGCGUUUUAUAUGUGAUCUUGAAUGGGGUUGCAGGACUCCUUAUCUUCCUUAUGUUCCCUUGCUCUCGGAGCCAUCUGCAGAUGGGCAAUAG